GGACUACCGGGGUAUCUAAUCCCGUUUGCUCCCCUGGCUUUCGUGCCUCAGCGUCAGGAAAUGUCCAGAGACUCGCCUUCGCCACUGGUGUUCCACUUGAUAUCUACGCAUUUCACUGCUACACCAAGUAUUCCAGUCUCCCCUCCAUUCCUCGAGCCGGAUAGUAUCCAACGCAGUUUCCAAGUUGAGCUUGGAGAUUUCACGUCAGACUUACCCGACCGCCUACGCACCCUUUACGCCCAGUGAAUCCGAACAACGCUUGGGACCUCUGUAUUACCGCGGCUGCUGGCAC
RNAcentral lists this ribosomal RNA (292 nucleotides) under uncultured Verrucomicrobiota bacterium. RNAcentral describes it as "uncultured Verrucomicrobia bacterium partial 16S ribosomal RNA". The record is from RNAcentral. Lineage: Bacteria; Pseudomonadati; Verrucomicrobiota.